Molecule: RNA transcript, 829 nt
Organism: Cucumis melo (muskmelon)
Lineage: Eukaryota; Viridiplantae; Streptophyta; Magnoliopsida; Cucurbitales; Cucurbitaceae
Gene name: NADH dehydrogenase [ubiquinone] 1 beta subcomplex subunit 7
Exons: 3
Source: RefSeq, a predicted model, not a curated record
AAAAGGUGACAAUCACUCGAUUUUAUUAAAAAAUUUGCUACCGCACCAAGUCUCCUAUUUGUUUCAUAUUUGUUUGCUUAGCAAAAUUUCCGAGAGGACGACAGCAAUUGAUAAUUUGAUUUCGAGUGAAGCUCAGCAACCGGAGUCGACAGCCGAAGAGAGAGCACAGCAGAUCAAUCAUGGAAUUUCAGGGCUCCUCCAAGAAGAUGAUAGCCACCCAGGCUGAGAUGGUCGAGGCUAGGGUUCCAAUUCCUUACAGAGAUCAGUGCGCUCACUUGCUGAUCCCUCUUAAUAAAUGUCGCCAAUCCGAGUUCUACCUCCCAUGGAAAUGCGAAGACGAGCGCCAUUCCUACGAGAAGUGUGAAUAUGAGCUGGUUAUGGAGAGGAUGCUUCAGAUGCAAAAGAUCCGUGAGGAACAGGCCAAGUUGAAGGAGGGUAUUCAUCUCAUUCCCAAACCUGCCAAUGUAUGACCUCAUUCUUCAAUUAGGCAGCACUUCUAGCUCUGAGCUCAAAUUGGAGUAUUUUCUAACAUCUGACAGGAAGCAUUAAAUUGCUGAGAUAUGUGAAGGUUCAUCCUUUUCCGGCAAGAGCAAUGGGAAGGCAUUUGAUACUGUUUGGUCGAUUGAAAAAACUCAAUAGUUUUCCGAGCUUUUUAAAUCUGGUCAGAAUCCUUGAUUCGGGAUUUGGAAUAAAGUUACCCCUUAAGCAAAGAAGUGUAAACUUCAUCCUUUGUUUUCUUUGAUUAAAUAACGUUUAUGUCGAUGUGUACUAUUAUCCUGAAUAUCAUUUUGCUUUGUGGACUUUGCCAAAAUGUCUCGAAUUUUGGAUA